GGCCUAACACAUGCAAGUCGAACGAUGAAGCCCUUCGGGGUGGAUUAGUGGCGAACGGGUGAGUAACACGUGGGCAAUCUGCCCUUCACUCUGGGACAAGCCCUGGAAACGGGGUCUAAUACCGGAUACCACUCCUGCCUGCAUGGGCGGGGGUUGAAAGCUCCGGCGGUGAAGGAUGAGCCCGCGGCCUAUCAGCUUGUUGGUGGGGUAAUGGCCCACCAAGGCGACGACGGGUAGCCGGCCUGAGAGGGCGACCGGCCACACUGGGACUGAGACACGGCCCAGACUCCUACGGGAGGCAGCAGUGGGGAAUAUUGCACAAUGGGCGAAAGCCUGAUGCAGCGACGCCGCGUGAGGGAUGACGGCCUUCGGGUUGUAAACCUCUUUCAGCAGGGAAGAAGCGAAAGUGACGGUACCUGCAGAAGAAGCGCCGGCUAACUACGUGCCAGCAGCCGCGGUAAUACGUAGGGCGCAAGCGUUGUCCGGAAUUAUUGGGCAUAAAGAGCUCGUAGGCGGCUUGUCACGUCGGAUGUGAAAGCCCGAGGCUUAACCUCGGGUCUGCAUUCGAUACGGGCUAGCUAGAGUGUGGUAGGGGAGAUCGGAAUUCCUGGUGUAGCGGUGAAAUGCGCAGAUAUCAGGAGGAACACCGGUGGCGAAGGCGGAUCUCUGGGCCAUUACUGACGCUGAGGAGCGAAAGCGUGGGGAGCGAACAGGAUUAGAUACCCUGGUAGUCCACGCCGUAAACGUUGGGAACUAGGUGUUGGCGACAUUCCACGUCGUCGGUGCCGCAGCUAACGCAUUAAGUUCCCCGCCUGGGGAGUACGGCCGCAAGGCUAAAACU
This 841-nucleotide ribosomal RNA is filed under the name uncultured Streptomyces sp. RNAcentral describes it as "bacterial SSU rRNA". It matches the Rfam family "Bacterial small subunit ribosomal RNA", at positions 45 to 901 of the family's 1533-position model. The record is from RNAcentral. Lineage: Bacteria; Bacillati; Actinomycetota; Actinomycetes; Kitasatosporales; Streptomycetaceae.